GAUAAACGCUGGCGGCGUGCCUAACACAUGCAAGUCGAACGCCCUACGCUUGCGUAGGGAGUGGCGGACGGGUGAGGAACACGUGGGUCAUCUACCCAGAGGUGAGGAAUACCGGCGAGAAAUCGCCGACAAUACCGCAUACGUUCUGAAAAGAACAAAGUCGCAAGACGCCUUUGGAUGAGCCUGCGCCCGAUUAGUUAGUUGGUGGGUAAAGCCUACCAAGACUGCAAUCGGUAGCGGUCUGAGAGGACGAUCAGCCACACUGGGAUUGAGAA
Molecule: ribosomal RNA, 275 nt
Filed under: uncultured bacterium
Lineage: Bacteria
Description: partial 16S ribosomal RNA
Rfam family: Bacterial small subunit ribosomal RNA
Source: RNAcentral